CCGAAUGGCCGACAUUUUCAGUGU
This 24-nucleotide non-coding RNA is filed under the name Arabidopsis thaliana (thale cress). The record is from RNAcentral. Lineage: Eukaryota; Viridiplantae; Streptophyta; Magnoliopsida; Brassicales; Brassicaceae.